This 438-nucleotide ribosomal RNA is filed under the name uncultured bacterium. RNAcentral's name for it is "bacterial SSU rRNA". It matches the Rfam family "Bacterial small subunit ribosomal RNA", at positions 339 to 791 of the family's 1533-position model. The record is from RNAcentral.
CUACGGGAGGCAGCAGUGGGGAAUCUUCCGCAAUGGGCGAAAGCCUGACGGAGCAACGCCGCGUGGGUGAAGAAGGCCUUCGGGUUGUAAAGCCCUGUCUUAUGGGACGAAGAAAGUGACGGUACCAUAGGAGGAAGCCACGGCUAACUACGUGCCAGCAGCCGCGGUAAUACGUAGGUGGCAAGCGUUGUCCGGAAUUACUGGGCGUAAAGGGUGCGCAGGCGGUAACUUAAGUCGGAUGUGAAAACUAGAGGCUAAACCACUAGAUUGCAUUUGAAACUGGGUUGCUUGAGUGCAGGAGAGGGCAGUGGAAUUCCUAGUGUAGCGGUGAAAUGCGUAGAUAUUAGGAGGAACACCAGUGGCGAAGGCGGCUGCCUGGACUGUAACUGACGCUGAGGCACGAAAGCGUGGGGAGCGAACAGGAUUAGAUACCCCGGU